GGGCCCGUUGCCCAGUACGGAUUAAGGCGCCGAACCGCGCUGAAAAGAAGCGGUGCGCAAGCCUCCGGACGACAGAAUGGAAGAAAGCCGGAGAACAGGGGUUCAAAUCCCCUCGGGCCCG
This 121-nucleotide transfer RNA is filed under the name Candidatus Bathyarchaeota archaeon CG07_land_8_20_14_0_80_47_9. RNAcentral's name for it is "tRNA-OTHER". It matches the Rfam family "tRNA". Rfam says of the family: Transfer RNA (tRNA) molecules are approximately 80 nucleotides in length. Their secondary structure includes four short double-helical elements and three loops (D, anti-codon, and T loops). The record is from RNAcentral. Lineage: Archaea; Thermoproteati; Candidatus Bathyarchaeota.